UGGGGAAUUGUUCGCAAUGGGCGCAAGCCUGACGACGCAACGCCGCGUGGAGGAUGAAGGUCUUCGGAUUGUAAACUCCUGUUGAUCGGGACGAAUGGGCUUCGGGUCAAUAUCCCGGAGCAGUGACGGUACCGAUUGAGGAAGCCACGGCUAACUCUGUGCCAGCAGCCGCGGUAAUACAGAGGUGGCAAGCGUUGUUCGGAAUUACUGGGCGUAAAGGGCGCGUAGGUGGCCUUCUUAGUCAGACGUGAAAUCCCCGGGCUUAACUCGGGAACUGCGUCUGAUACUGGAAGGCUCGAGUUCGGGAGAGGAAUGUGGAAUUCCAGGUGUAGCGGUGAAAUGCGUAGAUAUCUGGAGGAACACCGGUGGCGAAGGCGGCAUUCUGGACCGAAACUGACGCUGAGGCGCGAAAGCCAGGGGAGCAAACGG
RNAcentral lists this ribosomal RNA (429 nucleotides) under uncultured bacterium. RNAcentral's name for it is "bacterial SSU rRNA". It matches the Rfam family "Bacterial small subunit ribosomal RNA", at positions 355 to 775 of the family's 1533-position model. The record is from RNAcentral.